Molecule: ribosomal RNA, 469 nt
Filed under: uncultured bacterium
Lineage: Bacteria
Description: bacterial SSU rRNA
Rfam family: Bacterial small subunit ribosomal RNA
Source: RNAcentral
CACCAGACUCCUACGGGAGGCAGCAGUGAGGAAUAUUGGUCAAUGGGCGGGAGCCUGAACCAGCCAAGUCGCGUGAGGGAAGACGGUCCUAUGGAUUGUAAACCUCUUUAGGCGGGGAGCAAUGCCGGGCACGCGUGCCCGGAGGGAGAGUACCCGCAGAAUAAGCAUCGGCUAACUCCGUGCCAGCAGCCGCGGUAAUACGGAGGAUGCGAGCGUUAUCCGGAUUUAUUGGGUUUAAAGGGUGCGUAGGCGGUCCGUUAAGUCAGCGGUAAAAUGGCGGGGCUCAACCCCGUCGAGCCGUUGAAACUGGCUGCCUUGAGAUGUCGAGAGGUAUGCGGAAUGCGCAGUGUAGCGGUGAAAUGCUUAGAUAUUGCGCAGAACUCCGAUUGCGAAGGCAGCAUACCGGCGGCGAUCUGACGCUGAGGCACGAAAGCGUGGGUAUCGAACAGGAUUAGAUACCCCUGUAUUU